CCUACGGGGGGCUGCAGUGGGGAAUGUUGCACAAUGGGCGCAAGCCUGAUGCAGCGACGCCGCGUGAGCGAUGAAGGCCUUCGGGUCGUAAAGCUCUGUUGUUAGGGAAGAACAAGUACGGGAGGAAAUGACCGUACCUUGACGGUACCUAACGAGGAAGCCACGGCCAACUACGUGCCAGCAGCCGCGGUAAUACGUAGGUGGCAAGCGUUGUCCGGAAUUAUUGGGCGUAAAGCGCGCGCAGGCGGUCUUUUAAGUCUGAUGUGAAAUCUUGCGGCUCAACCGCAAGCGGUCAUUGGAAACUGGGAGACUUGAGUGCAGAAGAGGAAAGCGGAAUGCCACGUGUAGCGGUGAAAUGCGUAGAGAUGUGGAGGGACACCAGUGGCGAAGGCGGCUUUCUGGUCUGUAACUGACGCUGAGGCGCGAAAGCGUGGGGAGCAAACAGGAUUAGAUACCCUUGUAGUC
Molecule: ribosomal RNA, 465 nt
Filed under: uncultured bacterium
Lineage: Bacteria
Description: bacterial SSU rRNA
Rfam family: Bacterial small subunit ribosomal RNA
Source: RNAcentral